UUACGACCUCGAUGUUGGAUCAGGGUGUCCCAGUGGUGCAGCCGCUACUAAAGGUUCGUUUGUUCAACGAUUAAAACCCUACGUGAUCUGAGUUCAGACCGGAGUAAUCCAGGUCAGUUUCUAUCUAUAGAGGAGUUUUUUCUAGUACGAAAGGACCGAAAAAACAUGGCCUAUACUUCAUGCAAGCCAUAAUUAUUAACUUAUGAUAAAAUCUUAAUAAGUAAUUAAACCAACACUAAACUCAAAAAAAGAGCA
This 255-nucleotide ribosomal RNA is filed under the name Osteocephalus planiceps. Its description in RNAcentral is "partial 16S ribosomal RNA". It matches the Rfam family "Bacterial large subunit ribosomal RNA", at positions 2518 to 2831 of the family's 2925-position model. The record is from RNAcentral. Lineage: Eukaryota; Metazoa; Chordata; Amphibia; Anura; Hylidae.